UACGGAGGGUGCAAGCGUUAAUCGGAAUUACUGGGCGUAAAGCGCACGCAGGCGGUCUUUUAAGUCAGAUGUGAAAUCCCCGGGCUCAACCUGGGAAGUGCAUGUGAAACUGGAAGACUAGAGUCAUGUAGAGGGGGGUAGAAUUCCAGGUGUAGCGGUGAAAUGCGUAGAGAUGUGGAGGAAUACCGGUGGCGAAGGCGGCCCCCUGGACAAAGACUGACGCUCAGGUGCGAAAGCGUGGGGAGCAAACAGG
RNAcentral lists this ribosomal RNA (253 nucleotides) under uncultured bacterium. Its description in RNAcentral is "partial 16S ribosomal RNA". It matches the Rfam family "Bacterial small subunit ribosomal RNA", at positions 524 to 776 of the family's 1533-position model. The record is from RNAcentral.